Molecule: long non-coding RNA, 1128 nt
Filed under: Vigna radiata
Lineage: Eukaryota; Viridiplantae; Streptophyta; Magnoliopsida; Fabales; Fabaceae
Description: long non-coding RNA (VRAD_LNC015054)
Source: RNAcentral
AAUGUGUGAAAUAAUAGAUAACGCUUAUUUAAAAAAGCGCUAUCUAAACCUAUAACAAUAUAUAGCGUUUUUUUUAAAAAAAACGCUAUGUAUAUGGAAUUAUUAUUAAUUUUUUAAUUUAUAAUUUAAAAUAAACAUAAUAGACAUCGUGUUUUAAAAAAGGCGCAAUCUAUUUUGUUAGAUAGAUAGUUUUUUUUUUUCUUUUAAAAAAAGAAGUGUUUAUUAAACUCUUAAAAAAUUUUGAAAAAGGUUUUCAGUUCCUCUUCGUCUAGAUGCUCUUUUACUUUCUCUUUCGAUCUUCUGAGUCAAAAUUUUUCUCCUUUUACCUAAAUUUCCAGUUUCAUUUCGUCCAGAUUCAUCAAACCCACUACCCCUAAAUUUCACUUUCUAUUUGCCCCCAAAUAUCUUUUUGUGUUUGCCCCCGAAUUUCAUACGUUGGUUCGAAACCUACGUUGGAUUCAUCAAACCUAAUUGUUAUGAGUAGAGUAAGUCGGUGUUGCGUCUCUUCUCCGUCAUUGCUCGUCGGGCAAGGGUUCAAGAAACUAGUGCGCAAGCCCUAUCUCUUUCAAGAAACCAGUACGCUUGCGACCAGAUUUAAUGCUUCGCCAUUAAAGCUAGGCAUUUUGGUGAGCUCUCGAACAUCUUAAUCUCUUUUACAUGGCAGCUUUAAUCCCUUCGAGCAAUACUCUUUCUCGAACAUCUUCAUCUCUUUUAUACGCUAAUGUAGCACUAUAUAUCAUCCCCUCAUCCAUCAUUCUCCCCCACCGAUAUUUUUUAUCACCACCACUGGAUUCACACCUUCUUGUAACCAUAUGACUCCCAUUUGUGCAUUGCUUUAGGUUAUGAAUCACUGAUUUUUUUAAUUUUAUUUUAGGGCUUGUAUGUGUAUUAGUUAAAUAAAGUGGAUAAAACAACUUAAGGAAAAUGAAACUGUAUGUAUUGUUGAAUUUUUUGGAAGUGAUUGCAUAAGAUUUAUUAAUGAAGUUUGUUGGUUAACAAUAAAAACUCUGGUAUAAAUUUAUAUAUAAAUUGUUGUCAAAGAGUAACUAUUUGCUAAAGGUAGUUGUUUAGUUGAGAGGGGUCCUAUAUAUUCUCGUUAAAAUUAAUGUACCUUGUAGUUUUCUUAGU